Molecule: ribosomal RNA, 253 nt
Filed under: uncultured bacterium
Lineage: Bacteria
Description: partial 16S ribosomal RNA
Rfam family: Bacterial small subunit ribosomal RNA
Source: RNAcentral
UACGUAGGGUGCGAGCGUUAAUCGGAAUUACUGGGCGUAAAGCGUGCGCAGGCGGUUCGUUGUGUCGGCGGUGAAAGCCCCGGGCUCAACCUGGGAAUGGCCGUUGAAACUGGCGAACUGGAGUGUGGCAGAGGGGGGUGGAAUUCCGCGUGUAGCAGUGAAAUGCGUAGAGAUGCGGCGGAACACCGAUGGCGAAGGCAGCCCCCUGGGCUGAGAUUGACGCUCAGGCACGAAAGCGUGGGGAGCAAACAGG